CUCUUUGGCAAGAGAGGCAUCCCCAGCCCUUCCUUAAGGUCAAGCCUUAGGGCUGGGGAUAGCUACUCAUGGGUACCAGUGUUGUUAUUAAGGAGUGGCCAAUGGCAGUGUAAUAGGAAUCAUCGGUUAUCCCAGUACUGAAGCAGGAGACUGAAGCAGGAGGCUGAAGCAGGAGGAUCACAUGUUUGAUCCUCAUAGGAUCACAUGAGGCUCCAGUCUCUGCCCUCUGCCAGGAUAUCACACACAUCGUGGCUGACCCUCCUCUGAGCAAGACACCUGGACUUACGACAUCCGUGCACCUUUCUUUCUUGAUCACUUACCCUUCACCCUGGCCACAGUGCUCUUGGAAGUCUCGUCUAAAAGAGGCUGCUGUAGACAUUGCUGGCACCACACGGCAUCUCCUGUGACCAUCACUGUAAAUAGUGGUUACGGGAGUGUGCCUACCUCUCACAGCCCCCUCUCCCCAGAGGCAGGCCCCACAAGGACUUUAUUAAUCUCUGCCAUCCUCUAUGGCUGAUGCCUCAGGCCAGAGAGGGAGGGAAUGGCCCACACAGCUCACUGAAGCCCUUAAUGAUCACGUCAAGUAGCCGGCCAUUUAUUAGUCUCCUUAGUGGAAAGGAAAAAAGCAGAGAAUCUUGAGCAGUUCAGGGGACAGUGGUUUGAUUUUUAUUACACCUGUGCCAAACCUCAGACAUUGAAGGGGAUGCAGCAGGGUAGUGCUCCAAGUGGGGGAAGCACGAGGGCUCUCAGCAAAGUCCUAUGUGCACAGUAGGCAGCAUGUGGUAGGUGCUGCCCAUCAGUCCUUGCCCGGGGCCACGAAGCUUCCCUUUUGCAUGUGUGUUAGCAGAUCCAUGAGAUUCCUUCAGACAGUCUCAGACUCUUCUAUGAAGACAAAUGAGUGAGCAGAAAUGGCAUGUGGACACAGUUUAGGAGGCAAGAUAGGUGUCUAGGUCGGAAGUGGCGGUGCCAGCGUGCGUCACUCCCCCAGACUCACUUUUCUCAUCCACAAAAUGGGCUGAAUCAGAGCCAUCCUUGGGAAUAAAGGACCCUGUGGCCAUCACUGCCUUGAAA
Molecule: long non-coding RNA, 1071 nt
Organism: Mastomys coucha (southern multimammate mouse)
Lineage: Eukaryota; Metazoa; Chordata; Mammalia; Rodentia; Muridae
Exons: 3
Source: RefSeq, a predicted model, not a curated record